Long non-coding RNA from Labeo rohita (rohu), 364 nucleotides. RefSeq lists it as uncharacterized. The transcript has 4 exons. The record is from RefSeq and is a predicted model, not a curated record. NCBI's taxonomy places the organism in Eukaryota, Metazoa, Chordata, Actinopteri, Cypriniformes, Cyprinidae.
CUUUAACACGUUUUUGUCUUUCCAUAACCAGGAGGAGAGCGCAUCGUUGUGUUGCAAAGCUUUACGAAUUAUUCAAAAAUCUACUGUGGAUGCACAACGUGACACCAUCAACGUCAACGACACUCGUGGACCCGUGGACACAUGUUGAGGUCCAACCCUGGUCCUCGAGAGCCACUGCACUGCUUGUUUUGCAGCUGUCCCUGCCCUUCCAGCUUCUGACUGACAACACACCUGAUCCAUUACUAAUCAGCAGUGAGUAAGGCAUGGAAAGUUGGAAAACAAGCAGAGUCAUGUCAAAUGCUUAAUGGCCAAAUGCAGUAUGAGGGGUGGUGGCCAAAUUUCACAGCCUUUCAAAGCUACAGCU